This is a long non-coding RNA of Parasteatoda tepidariorum (common house spider), 1119 nucleotides long. RefSeq lists it as uncharacterized. The record is from RefSeq and is a predicted model, not a curated record. NCBI's taxonomy places the organism in Eukaryota, Metazoa, Arthropoda, Arachnida, Araneae, Theridiidae.
AAAAAGUUUUAAAAAUUAGCAAAUCAAUUUUAAAAAAAUUAACAAACUUUAUUUGAUCUAUAGAGAAAAUAUAAAUUUAUUUUUAAUGUAGUUACUUUAUAUGAAUUACUUUCAUAUGACUACAUAGUAAAAUUUUAUAAAUUUAAAUACUCUGGUUAUUAUUAGUUCUCUAAAUAAUCAAAUCAAAAUAAUAAACAAUUCAAGAUAUAAUUAGAAAAAGUGCAUGUUAAAUAAAAUGAUAAAACUAUUUUGAAAAUAAAUAAAGUCGUUUUAGAGUUAAAAAAAAAUAUUUUUUAAGUUUAUCUUAGAAAGAGAAAAAGCAUAAUAUAAGAUGAAGAGUGAGUUUCUUCUGAUAUCUUUUGAAAGCUAGUUGACCCCCGCAGGUUGCAAUUCCCCUUCUGUGACAGUGAUUAGUUUCGGGUUACUUAACACACGCACCCCCACAAAAAAUGUAGGGGAGACAGUGAAACGGGUUUUGGAGGUGCAAUAUAUUUCGUCCCUUUUCGAACCUAUCCUUACUGAAGGUUAGAAUUGAAAUGAAAAGGCCUCUUUAGGUAUUCUUUGGCCAAGAUAUAUACAUAUAUAUAUAUACAUAUAAUAUGAGGUGAGAAAAAAAGACAGUUGUUAAAACAUUUAUUUAAAAUAUACCAAAAUAAUAAAUUGGAACAGCAAAGUUUGUUAAAUUGAAUCAUGCCUUUCUGGACAGUUUUUGGUAUUCCAUAGAAUUCCAAAAACUGGCAUAUUUUAUAACUUAGAUCAUACUUUUUUUAACUUUACUGAUAACAAAUAUGAUUGCAAAUUAAGAGGGUAGAAAAAUUAUCUUUUUGUAAUAUUUUGAUGAAAUAUAUUUUUUUCUCUAAAGAAAAUUUUAUAUAUUUUUAGUCGACGUGUGCUAAUCCUAUGGAUGGUGUUACAUGUAAAAAAAUGACAGACAUGAAUGAAUGCUUUCUGGAUAUAGUGAACAGAAUUCAUGCUGAAGGAAAAUGCUGAUGACUCAAAUACUAUCAUCGAACAUAAAUAUUGUUCAAUAAUGCAAACCUGGAAUUUUUACAGUACCACCUUUAAAAUAUUUCACAAUCGGUUACUUUUGGGAAAAAAAUAAAAUUUUAAAAAAUUUAA